RNAcentral lists this ribosomal RNA (2921 nucleotides) under Klebsiella pneumoniae. Its description in RNAcentral is "bacterial LSU rRNA". It matches the Rfam family "Bacterial large subunit ribosomal RNA". Lineage: Bacteria; Pseudomonadati; Pseudomonadota; Gammaproteobacteria; Enterobacterales; Enterobacteriaceae. The record is from RNAcentral.
GGGUUGUGAGGUUAAGCGACUAAGCGUACACGGUGGAUGCCCUGGCAGUCAGAGGCGAUGAAGGACGUGCUAAUCUGCGAAAAGCGUCGGUAAGGUGAUAUGAACCGUUACAGCCGGCGAUGUCCGAAUGGGGAAACCCAGUGCAAUUCGUUGCACUAUCGUUAACUGAAUACAUAGGUUAACGAGGCGAACCGGGGGAACUGAAACAUCUAAGUACCCCGAGGAAAAGAAAUCAACCGAGAUUCCCCAGUAGCGGCGAGCGAACGGGGAGCAGCCCAGAGUCUGAAUCAGCUUGUGUGUUAGUGGAACGGUCUGGAAAGUCCGACGGUACAGGGUGAUAGUCCCGUACACCAAAAUGCACAGGCUGUGAACUCGAAGAGUAGGGCGGGACACGUGGUAUCCUGUCUGAAUAUGGGGGGACCAUCCUCCAAGGCUAAAUACUCCUGACUGACCGAUAGUGAACCAGUACCGUGAGGGAAAGGCGAAAAGAACCCCGGCGAGGGGAGUGAAAAAGAACCUGAAACCGUGUACGUACAAGCAGUGGGAGCACCUUCGGGUGUGACUGCGUACCUUUUGUAUAAUGGGUCAGCGACUUAUAUUCUGUAGCAAGGUUAACCGUAUAGGGGAGCCGCAGGGAAACCGAGUCUUAACUGGGCGUUAAGUUGCAGGGUAUAGACCCGAAACCCGGUGAUCUAGCCAUGGGCAGGUUGAAGGUUGGGUAACACUAACUGGAGGACCGAACCGACUAAUGUUGAAAAAUUAGCGGAUGACUUGUGGCUGGGGGUGAAAGGCCAAUCAAACCGGGAGAUAGCUGGUUCUCCCCGAAAGCUAUUUAGGUAGCGCCUCGUGAAUUCAUCUUCGGGGGUAGAGCACUGUUUCGGCUAGGGGGUCAUCCCGACUUACCAACCCGAUGCAAACUACGAAUACCGAAGAAUGUUAUCACGGGAGACACACGGCGGGUGCUAACGUCCGUCGUGAAGAGGGAAACAACCCAGACCGCCAGCUAAGGUCCCAAAGUCAUGGUUAAGUGGGAAACGAUGUGGGAAGGCACAGACAGCCAGGAUGUUGGCUUAGAAGCAGCCAUCAUUUAAAGAAAGCGUAAUAGCUCACUGGUCGAGUCGGCCUGCGCGGAAGAUGUAACGGGGCUAAACCAUGCACCGAAGCUGCGGCAGCGACACUAUGUGUUGUUGGGUAGGGGAGCGUUCUGUAAGCCUGCGAAGGUGUGCUGUGAGGCAUGCUGGAGGUAUCAGAAGUGCGAAUGCUGACAUAAGUAACGAUAAAGCGGGUGAAAAGCCCGCUCGCCGGAAGACCAAGGGUUCCUGUCCAACGUUAAUCGGGGCAGGGUGAGUCGACCCCUAAGGCGAGGCCGAAAGGCGUAGUCGAUGGGAAACAGGUUAAUAUUCCUGUACUUGGUGUUACUGCGAAGGGGGACGGAGAAGGCUAUGUUAGCCGGGCGACGGUUGUCCCGGUUUAAGCAUGUAGGCUGGUUGUCCAGGCAAAUCCGGAUAAUCAAGGCUGAGGUGUGAUGACGAGGCACUACGGUGCUGAAGUAACAAAUGCCCUGCUUCCAGGAAAAGCCUCUAAGCAUCAGGUAACAUCAAAUCGUACCCCAAACCGACACAGGUGGUCAGGUAGAGAAUACCAAGGCGCUUGAGAGAACUCGGGUGAAGGAACUAGGCAAAAUGGUGCCGUAACUUCGGGAGAAGGCACGCUGGUGUGUAGGUGAAGUCCCUGCGGAUGGAGCUGAGACCAGUCGAAGAUACCAGCUGGCUGCAACUGUUUAUUAAAAACACAGCACUGUGCAAACACGAAAGUGGACGUAUACGGUGUGACGCCUGCCCGGUGCCGGAAGGUUAAUUGAUGGGGUUAUCCGUAAGGAGAAGCUCUUGAUCGAAGCCCCGGUAAACGGCGGCCGUAACUAUAACGGUCCUAAGGUAGCGAAAUUCCUUGUCGGGUAAGUUCCGACCUGCACGAAUGGCGUAAUGAUGGCCAGGCUGUCUCCACCCGAGACUCAGUGAAAUUGAACUCGCUGUGAAGAUGCAGUGUACCCGCGGCAAGACGGAAAGACCCCGUGAACCUUUACUAUAGCUUGACACUGAACAUUGAGCCUUGAUGUGUAGGAUAGGUGGGAGGCUUUGAAGCGUGGACGCCAGUCUGCGUGGAGCCAACCUUGAAAUACCACCCUUUAAUGUUUGAUGUUCUAACGUUGGCCCCUUACCGGGGUUGCGGACAGUGUCUGGUGGGUAGUUUGACUGGGGCGGUCUCCUCCCAAAGCGUAACGGAGGAGCACGAAGGUUAGCUAAUCCUGGUCGGACAUCAGGAGGUUAGUGCAAUGGCAUAAGCUAGCUUGACUGCGAGCGUGACGGCGCGAGCAGGUGCGAAAGCAGGUCAUAGUGAUCCGGUGGUUCUGAAUGGAAGGGCCAUCGCUCAACGGAUAAAAGGUACUCCGGGGAUAACAGGCUGAUACCGCCCAAGAGUUCAUAUCGACGGCGGUGUUUGGCACCUCGAUGUCGGCUCAUCACAUCCUGGGGCUGAAGUAGGUCCCAAGGGUAUGGCUGUUCGCCAUUUAAAGUGGUACGCGAGCUGGGUUUAGAACGUCGUGAGACAGUUCGGUCCCUAUCUGCCGUGGGCGCUGGAGAAUUGAGGGGGGCUGCUCCUAGUACGAGAGGACCGGAGUGGACGCAUCACUGGUGUUCGGGUUGUCAUGCCAAUGGCACUGCCCGGUAGCUAAAUGCGGAAGAGAUAAGUGCUGAAAGCAUCUAAGCACGAAACUUGCCCCGAGAUGAGUUCUCCCUGAGACUUUAAGUCUCCUGAAGGAACGUUGAAGACGACGACGUUGAUAGGCCGGGUGUGUAAGCGCAGCGAUGCGUUGAGCUAACCGGUACUAAUGAACCGUGAGGCUUAACCUUACAACGCCGAAG